CUUCUCAAAGCAAAGCACUCUAAGGUCCCCAUUACCCCAUCAGGAAGACUCCAGAAAUCCAUCUGUGUGCACAUUCUCUUCAGCUAAGCAGCAGUGCACUCCCAAACCACCCACAAGCAGUCACUGUGCAGGAACAACGACACGCCAACUUCACUCCACGCUUCUGGACGAUAACACUGAUUGCUUGGAACCCCAAUGCUGAGAUCCAAUUCAUUUUUUUAAUAGCAGUGGAACAUCGCGUCGAAGUACGGCCUGCCCAUUCAUGACACUUAACGUUAAGUUAGCAGAUCAAUAUCAUCUUAAAAAGUUAACUCUGCAAAGACAAAAUUGCUCUUUCAGGAGAAAAAUACAUUUUCUUUCAGCCUUAAGAACUGCAGCCACCAGUAGGUGGUGUUUCUGAAAUGUCAGAGCACUUCUCCCCUACAAUGAAAUGCAAAACUCCACCUGCACUGCUGCUGCUUUUCAUGCAGGACUCCACGCUCACUGCUGCUCCACGGUCACUGCAAACAAACCUAUUUCAUCUGAGGGCCUUUGAGCAGAAAGAUUCUACCACGCGCCAAGAUGACAACACACACCUGAAAAUGUAAAUAUACCGACAACACAGGACUGAUUUGCAGGUGACAUCCCCUGCAGCUCUGCACACCUAAAGGCAAGUUUAUCCUGGCACGGCAGUGGAAGUUGACACAUCCAUUAAGUGCGUACCUGAGCGAGAAGCAGCCUUCUGCUGUCUGCAGGAAAACCAGCUCUGGAAAAAUGGAAUUAAGGUCCAAGGAUGUGCACUGAGUAUUAACAGAACACAAAUGGAGCUAGAAUUCUGCCAUCUUCCGACCCGCACGAAGGAGAACUGCUGAUGAAAACCUUUCUUUGAAACGAUCCAAGUACCGUUAUGGUAAAAAGAUCCCGACGUGAUCUUACAGCAUAUAGGAACUGCAAGUGCUCUCAUCUGCAAUGCAUGUAGUGCCU
Molecule: non-coding RNA, 963 nt
Organism: Meleagris gallopavo (turkey)
Lineage: Eukaryota; Metazoa; Chordata; Aves; Galliformes; Phasianidae
Source: RefSeq, a predicted model, not a curated record